GACGAACGCUGGCGGCGUGCUUAACACAUGCAAGUCGAACGGAAAGGCCCCUUUGGGGGUCCUCGAGUGGCGAACGGGUGAGUAACACGUGAGUAACCUGCCCUUGACUUCGGGAUAACUUCAGGAAACUGGGGCUAAUACCGGAUAGGAAUCCUUGCUGCAUGGUGGGGGUUGGAAAGCUUCGGCGGUUUUGGAUGGACUCGCGGCGUAUCAGCUUGUUGGUGGGGUAGUGGCUUACCAAGGCUUUGACGGGUAGCCGGCCUGAGAGGGCGACCGGCCACAUUGGGACUGAGAGACGGCCCAGACUCCGACGGGAGGCAGCAGGGGGGAAUAUUGCACAAUGGGCGGAAGCCGGAUGCAGCAACGCCGCGGGCGGGAGGACGGCCUUCGGGUUGAAAACCGCUUUCAGCAGGGGCGAAGCUUGUGGUGACGGUACCUGCAGAAGAAGCACCGGCUAACUACGUG
Molecule: ribosomal RNA, 465 nt
Filed under: uncultured bacterium
Lineage: Bacteria
Description: partial 16S ribosomal RNA
Rfam family: Bacterial small subunit ribosomal RNA
Source: RNAcentral